Molecule: non-coding RNA, 73 nt
Organism: Trichonephila inaurata madagascariensis
Lineage: Eukaryota; Metazoa; Arthropoda; Arachnida; Araneae; Nephilidae
Source: the annotation of a GenBank genome assembly
AUCUCUGUAGUGCAAUGAAUAUCGCGUUGGACUUUUAAUCCAGAGGUCGUGGGUUCGAAUCCCACCUGGGAUA